CUACGGGGCGCACCAGUAAGGAAUAUUGCGCAAUGGAGGCAACUCUGACGCAGCCAUGCCGCGUGCAGGAAGAAGGCCUUAUGGGUCGUAAACUGCUUUUAUUUAGGAAUAAACCCCCGAACGUGUUCGGGGCUGAAGGUACUAAACGAAUAAGCACCGGCUAACUCCGUGCCAGCAGCCGCGGUAAUACGGAGGGUGCAAGCGUUAUCCGGAUUUAUUGGGUUUAAAGGGUGCGCAGGCGGGCUAUUAAGUCAGUGGUGAAAUCCCGGGGCUCAACUCCGGAACUGCCAUUGAUACUGAUAGUCUUGAGUUUGGUUGAAGUGGGCGGAAUGUAGCAUGUAGCGGUGACAUGCAUAGAUAUGCUACAGAACACCAAUCGCGAAGGCAGCUCACUAAGCCAAAACUGACGCCCAUGCACGAAAGCGUGGGGAUCAAACAGGAUUAGAUACCCGGGUAGUC
This 459-nucleotide ribosomal RNA is filed under the name uncultured bacterium. RNAcentral describes it as "partial 16S ribosomal RNA". It matches the Rfam family "Bacterial small subunit ribosomal RNA", at positions 339 to 795 of the family's 1533-position model. The record is from RNAcentral.